GAUGAAGAACGUAGCGAAAUGCGAUAAGUAAUGUGAAAUGCAGAAUUCAGUGAAUCAUCGAAUCUUUGAACGCACAUUGCGCCCUCUGGUAUUCCGGGGGGCAUGCCUGUUCGAGCGUCAUUAUAACCACUCAAGCUCUCGCUUGGUAUUGGGGUUCGCGGUUCCGCGGCCCCUAAAAUCAGUGGCGGUGCCUGUCGGCUCUACGCGUAGUAAUACUCCUCGCGAUUGAGUCCGGUAGGUCUACUUGCCAGCAACCCCCAAUUUUUACAGGUUGACCUCGGAUCAGGUAGGGAUACCCGCUGAACUUAAGCAUAUCAAUAAGCGGAGGA
This 329-nucleotide unclassified non-coding RNA is filed under the name soil metagenome. RNAcentral describes it as "partial contains 5.8S ribosomal RNA, internal transcribed spacer 2, and large subunit ribosomal RNA". The stretch from base 1 to 120 matches the Rfam family "5.8S ribosomal RNA", at positions 35 to 154 of the family's 154-position model. The record is from RNAcentral.